Molecule: ribosomal RNA, 1615 nt
Filed under: uncultured bacterium
Lineage: Bacteria
Description: bacterial SSU rRNA
Rfam family: Bacterial small subunit ribosomal RNA
Source: RNAcentral
AGAGUCCUGGCUCAGCAAAUGAAAGUGAAAAAAAAGGGUCCUCUUGUCAGUCGAGGGAGGCCAGGGGGGCAUUUCCCUGCCUCGAGCGGGGGACUGGUGAGUAAUCGAUGGGUAACCUACCGGGGAGUGGGGAAUACCUCCGGGAAACUCGAGGUUCUACUGCAUGGCAUCUUUGGGACCAAAGUUCUGACUAUCAAAGCGGGGUCGAAGAUCUCGCGCUACCGGAUGGGCCCGCGCCCGAUUAGCUAGUUGGUGAGGUAAUGGCUCACCAAGGCUUCGAUCGGUAACCGGCCUGAGAGGGCGAUCGGUCACACCGGAACUGAGACACGGUCCGGACUCCUACGGGAGGCAGCAGUGGGGAAUCUUGCGCAAUGGGCGAAAGCCUGACGCAGCAACGCCGCGUGGAGGAUGAAGGCCCUUGGGUUGUAAACUCCCUGUCGGCUGGGAAGAAGUUGUUUCGCGGUUAAAUACCCCGCGGACAUUGACUGUACCAGCAAAGGGAAGCCCCCGGCUAACUCUGUGCCCAGCAGCCGCGGGUAAUACAGAGGGGGCCCAGCGUUAUUCGGAAUUAUUUGGGGCGUAAAGGGCGCGGUAGGCGGGCCAUGCGUGUCUUCCGUGAAUAUUUCCUUUCGAGCUCACUCGAGGGACGUGCGGAUGAAACUUGCCAAGGCUCGAGUUCCAAGAGAAGGGGAGGCGGGACUUCCACGUGUAGCCGGUGAAAUUGCGUAGAAUAUUGGGAAGGAACCACCGGUUGGCGAAAGGCCGUCCCCCCUGGGGUCUGGUUCCUUGACGCCUGUGAGGCGGCCGAAAAGCUGUGGGUGAGCAACGGGGAUAUAGAAUAUCCCCCGGGUAGUCACACCGCCCGUAAACCGAAUGGGGCACUCUUGGGUGUUCUGGCGAGGUAUUCCGACCCCCCUGGCGCGUGUGCGCCGAAGCUAUACCGCCAUAUUAGAUGGUGCUCCUCGCCUUUGGGGGAGAUACGCGUGUCGCCCAGAGAGGCUGUGUAAUACACUCAAAGGAAUUGACGGGGGCCGCACAAGCGGUGGAGCAUGUGGUUUAAUUCGAAGCAACGCGAAGAACCUUACCUGGGUUUGAAGGUGAGUGGAUCGGGGGCGAAAUCCCCCUUCCCCGCAAGGGGCCACUUGCUAGGUGCUGCAUGGCUGUCGUCAGCUCGUGUCGUGAGAUGUUGGGUUAAGUCCCGCAACGAGCGCAACCCCUGCUGCUAGUUGCCAACGGUUCGGCCGGGCACUCUAGUGGGACUGCCGGUGAUAAACCGGAGGAAGGUGGGGAUGACGUCAAGUCCUCAUGGCCUUUAUGUCCAGGGCUACACACGUGCUACAAUGGCCGAUACAAACCGUCGCGAGAGCGCAAGCUGGAGCAAAUCGGAUAAAGUCGGUCUCAGUUCGUGAUUGGGGUCUGCAACCCGACACCAUGAAGCUGGAAUCCAUAGUAAUCGCGGAUCAGCACGCCGCGGUGAAUACGUUCCCGGGCCUUGUACACACCGCCCGUCACAUCACGAAAGUCGGCUGUACCAGAAGUCGGUAAUGUGACUCGCAAGAGAGGAACCCCCUUAAGGUAUGGUCUUGUUUUUAGUCGAAGUCGUAACAAGGUAACC